UACGAAGGGGGGCUAGCGUUGCUCGGAAUCACUGGGCGUAAAGGGUGCGUAGGCGGGUCUUUUAAGUCAGGGGUGAAAUCCUGGAGCUCAACUCCAGAACUGCCUUUGAUACUGAGGAUCUUGAGUUCGGGAGAGGUGAGUGGAACUGCGAGUGUAGAGGUGAAAUUCGUAGAUAUUCGCAAGAACACCAGUGGCGAAGGCGGCUCACUGGCCCGAUACUG
This 221-nucleotide ribosomal RNA is filed under the name uncultured bacterium. RNAcentral describes it as "partial 16S ribosomal RNA". It matches the Rfam family "Bacterial small subunit ribosomal RNA", at positions 524 to 742 of the family's 1533-position model. The record is from RNAcentral.